Molecule: ribosomal RNA, 465 nt
Filed under: uncultured bacterium
Lineage: Bacteria
Description: partial 16S ribosomal RNA
Rfam family: Bacterial small subunit ribosomal RNA
Source: RNAcentral
GACGAACGCUGGCGGCGUGCUUAACACAUGCAAGUCGAACGGAAAGGCCCCUUCGGGGGUACUCGAGUGGCGAACGGGUGAGUAACACGUGAGUAACCUGCCCUUGACUUCGGGAUAACUCCAGGAAACUGGGGCUAAUACCGGAUAGGAAUCCUUGCUGCAUGGUGGGGGUUGGAAAGCUUCGGCGGUUUUGGAUGGACUCGCGGCUUAUCAGCUUGUUGGUGGGGUAGUGGCUUACCAAGGCUUUGACGGGUAGCCGGCCUGAGAGGGCGACCGGCCACAUUGGGACUGAGAUACGGCCCAGACUCCUACGGGAGGCAGCAGUGGGGAAUAUUGCACAAUGGGCGGAAGCCUGAUGCAGCAACGCCGCGUGCGGGAUGACGGCCUUCGGGUUGUAAACCGCUUUCAGCAGGGGCGAAGCUUGUGGUGACGGUACCUGCAGAAGAAGCACCGGCUAACUACGUG